UGGGGAAUAUUGCACAAUGGGCGAAAGCCUGAUGCAGCAACGCCGCGUGAGUGAUGAAGGUCUUCGGAUUGUAAAGCUCUGUCUUUUGGGACGAUAAUGACGGUACCAAAGGAGGAAGCCACGGCUAACUACGUGCCAGCAGCCGCGGUAAUACGUAGGUGGCGAGCGUUGUCCGGAUUUACUGGGCGUAAAGGGUGCGUAGGCGGAUGUUUAAGUGAGAUGUGAAAUACCCGGGCUUAACUUGGGUGCUGCAUUUCAAACUGGAUAUCUAGAGUGCAGGAGAGGAGAAUGGAAUUCCUAGUGUAGCGGUGAAAUGCGUAGAGAUUAGGAAGAACACCAGUGGCGAAGGCGAUUCUCUGGACUGUAACUGACGCUGAGGCACGAAAAGCGUGGGUAGCAAACAGGAUUAGAUACCCUGGUAGUCCACGCCGUAAACGAUGAGUACUAGGUGUAGGAGGUAUCGACCCCUUCUGUGCCGCAGUAAAACACAUUAAGUACUCCGCCUGGGAAGUACGAUCGCAAGA
This 524-nucleotide ribosomal RNA is filed under the name uncultured bacterium. RNAcentral describes it as "partial 16S ribosomal RNA". It matches the Rfam family "Bacterial small subunit ribosomal RNA", at positions 355 to 893 of the family's 1533-position model. The record is from RNAcentral.